AGAGUUUGAUCCUGGCUCAGAACGAACGCUGUGGUAAGACAUGCAAGUCGAACGGGAAUUCAUUUGUAGCAAUACCGAUGAAUUCUAGUGGCGAACGGGUGCGUAACACGUGAGCAAUCUGCCGGGAAGUGGGGGAUAACUCGUCGAAAGGCGAAUUAAUACCGCAUAUGGCCAGGGGGGACAUCCUCCCGAAGCGUAGCAAUACGCUUCCUGAUGAGCUCGCGGCCUAUCAGCUAGUUGGUGAGGUGACGGCUCACCAAGGCAAUGACGGGUAGCUGGUCUGAGAGGACGACCAGCCACACUGGAACUGCUCACCAAGGCAAUGACGGGUAGCUGGUCUGAGAGGACGACCAGCCACACUGGAACUGCUCACCAAGGCAAUGACGGGUAGCUGGUCUGAGAGGACGACCAGCCACACUGGAACUGAACACGGUCCAGACACCUACGGGUGGCAGCAGUCGAGAAUUUUUCACAAUGGGGGAAACCCUGAUGGAGCGACGCCGCGUGGAGGAUGAAGGUUUUCGGAUUGUAAACUCCUGUCAAAUGGGAACAAGAAAGUGAUAGUACCAUUAGAGGAAGAGACGGCUAACUCUGUGCCAGCAGCCGCGGUAAUACAGAGGUCUCAAGCGUUGUUCGGAUUCAUUGGGCGUAAAGGGUGCGCAGGCUGUGGGGUAAGUCGGAUGUGAAAUUUAGGGGCUCAACCCCUAAACUGCAUUCGAUACUGCUCCGCUAGAGGACUGUAGAGGAGAUUGGAAUUCACGGUGUAGCAGUGAAAUGCGUAGAUAUCGUGAGGAAGACCAGUGGCGAAAGCGAAUCUCUGGGCAGUUCCUGACGCUCAUGCACGAAAGGCCAGGGGAGCAAACGGGAUUAGAUACCCCGGUAGUCCUGGCAGUAAACGGUGCACGUUUGGUGUGGGAGGAUUCGACCCCUUCCGUGCCGGAGCUAACGCGUUAAACGUGCCGCCUGGGAAGUACGGUCGCAGAUUAAAACUCAAAGGAAUUGACGGGGGCCCGCACAGCGGUGGAGUAUGUGGCUUAAUUCGAUGCAACGCGAGAA
Molecule: ribosomal RNA, 1056 nt
Filed under: uncultured bacterium
Lineage: Bacteria
Description: bacterial SSU rRNA
Rfam family: Bacterial small subunit ribosomal RNA
Source: RNAcentral